This 681-nucleotide ribosomal RNA is filed under the name uncultured Serratia sp. RNAcentral describes it as "bacterial SSU rRNA". It matches the Rfam family "Bacterial small subunit ribosomal RNA", at positions 790 to 1470 of the family's 1533-position model. The record is from RNAcentral. Lineage: Bacteria; Pseudomonadati; Pseudomonadota; Gammaproteobacteria; Enterobacterales; Yersiniaceae.
GUAGUCCACGCUGUAAACGAUGUCGAUUUGGAGGUUGUGCCCUUGAGGCGUGGCUUCCGGAGCUAACGCGUUAAAUCGACCGCCUGGGGAGUACGGCCGCAAGGUUAAAACUCAAAUGAAUUGACGGGGGCCCGCACAAGCGGUGGAGCAUGUGGUUUAAUUCGAUGCAACGCGAAGAACCUUACCUACUCUUGACAUCCAGAGAACUUAGCAGAGAUGCUUUGGUGCCUUCGGGAACUCUGAGACAGGUGCUGCAUGGCUGUCGUCAGCUCGUGUUGUGAAAUGUUGGGUUAAGUCCCGCAACGAGCGCAACCCUUAUCCUUUGUUGCCAGCGGUUCGGCCGGGAACUCAAAGGAGACUGCCAGUGAUAAACUGGAGGAAGGUGGGGAUGACGUCAAGUCAUCAUGGCCCUUACGAGCAGGGCUACACACGUGCUACAAUGGCAUAUACAAAGAGAAGCGACCUCGCGAGAGCAAGCGGACCUCAUAAAGUAUGUCGUAGUCCGGAUUGGAGUCUGCAACUCGACUCCAUGAAGUCGGAAUCGCUAGUAAUCGUAGAUCAGAAUGCUACGGUGAAUACGUUCCCGGGCCUUGUACACACCGCCCGUCACACCAUGGGGAGUGGGUUGCAAAAGAAGUAGGUAGCUUAACCUUCGGGAGGGCGCUUACCACUUUGUGAUUC